This 67-nucleotide transfer RNA is filed under the name bovine gut metagenome. It matches the Rfam family "tRNA". From Rfam's summary of the family: Transfer RNA (tRNA) molecules are approximately 80 nucleotides in length. Their secondary structure includes four short double-helical elements and three loops (D, anti-codon, and T loops). The record is from RNAcentral.
UGGUGUAGCUCAGUCGGUAGAGCGACGCACUCGUAAUGCGUAGGUCGCCGGUUCGAGUCCGGCCUCC